ACAGGCUCUAUCCUUGCGAAGUUUGUCGUGGAAUGGUAAUUAUGAUUCGCGGGCGUGAAUUCCUCCCUGAUUGCAAAGGCAGGGAUGAUGGAUCUGCAAAAGGAAAAUGUCAUUCCAAUUCCUUGUUGGUUAUUGCGGGGACUCCGAGAUUCAUUUCGUAAGAGAGAGAAUGGACUUGAUAAGUUGUCUCAUAUCUAUCCUGUGGGGAAGAGAAGGUGAGGGAAAAAAAAAAAGAAAAGAAAUUCGACACGGACA
RNAcentral lists this small RNA (255 nucleotides) under Histoplasma capsulatum. RNAcentral describes it as "hypothetical RNA". Lineage: Eukaryota; Fungi; Ascomycota; Eurotiomycetes; Onygenales; Ajellomycetaceae. The record is from RNAcentral. RNAcentral also lists the same sequence under 1 other name.